CCUAACACAUGCAAGUCGAACGGUAACAGGAAGAAGCUUGCUUCUUUGCUGACGAGUGGCGGACGGGUGAGUAAUGUCUGGGAAACUGCCUGAUGGAGGGGGAUAACUACUGGAAACGGUAGCUAAUACCGCAUAACGUCGCAAGACCAAAGAGGGGGACCUUCGGGCCUCUUGCCAUCGGAUGUGCCCAGAUGGGAUUAGCUAGUAGGUGGGGUAACGGCUCACCUAGGCGACGAUCCCUAGCUGGUCUGAGAGGAUGACCAGCCACACUGGAACUGAGACACGGUCCAGACUCCUACGGGAGGCAGCAGUGGGGAAUAUUGCACAAU
This 329-nucleotide ribosomal RNA is filed under the name uncultured bacterium. RNAcentral's name for it is "bacterial SSU rRNA". It matches the Rfam family "Bacterial small subunit ribosomal RNA", at positions 47 to 372 of the family's 1533-position model. The record is from RNAcentral.